UCUUUUUGUUAUAAAUUUAAGGUUUAGCCUGCCCAAUGAAGUUUAAAUGGCCGCAGUAUUUUGACUGUGCUAAGGUAGCAUAAUCAUUAGUUUCUUAAUUAGAAGCUAGAAUGAAGGGUUGGAUGAAAGAAUAACUAUUUUAUAAUUAAUUAUUAGAAUUUUAUAUUUAGGUUAAAAAGCUUAAAUAAUUUUUAAAGACGAGAAGACCCUUUAGAGUUUGAUUUAUUAAUAUUUUUUAUAUUUUAGUAAAUAAUUUAUAUUAAUUUUUAAUAAAUUUUAUUGGGGUGAUAUAAAAAUUAAAAAAACUUUUUUAUAUAAUUAUAUAAAUUAAUAGAUUGAUGAUCCAAUAGUUUUGAUUAUAAGAUAAAAUUACCUUAGGGAUAACAGCGUAAUUUUAUUAAAGAGUUCAAAUUGACAAUAAAGUUUGCGACCUCGAUGUUGGAUUAAAA
RNAcentral lists this ribosomal RNA (449 nucleotides) under Monoplatus sp. group BMNH 835473. Its description in RNAcentral is "partial 16S ribosomal RNA". The record is from RNAcentral. Lineage: Eukaryota; Metazoa; Arthropoda; Insecta; Coleoptera; Chrysomelidae.